GGGAUACACUUGAUCUCUGAAUUUUAACAGGUAAGUUCUUGUUGAUAACUAUUCAUCUGCUGAUGCU
This is a non-coding RNA of Brassica napus (rape), 67 nucleotides long. Lineage: Eukaryota; Viridiplantae; Streptophyta; Magnoliopsida; Brassicales; Brassicaceae. The record is from Rfam.